GUAAUAACGAAGCCUUAAAAUUUUGCAGGAAAAAAAAAACAACGAAAUUGACUCAGCCAUUGUAACAACAGCUUUUCUCGUUCCUGCGUUCGGAGUCCAAAGGUUAAAUAUUUCUGGAUCCUUGGACAGGACUCCGUCUCAGAAUCCAAUAUUUAAUUAAGUCCGAGUUCCCUGAGUGUCUCCGACUUCUUUCUCGUCGACCAUUACGAUAAUUCGCACGAUCCGAAUCCGGAUAAACAAGUCCAAGGGAUUUACUCCAUUGGCCCUUGGUAGUUCCUAGAUAGAGCUGAUCCUUCCUGGCCUUACUGUCUGCCUGGAUGCUUGCUUUUACUCACUGACUCCACUUCCAUCUCCAUCCUGCUCCUUCGUGAACAUCGUAGAGAUAAGCCGACGCCCUUCAUCUCAUCCUCUAACGGAAUCGCUCCCUAGUGCUACUGGCUACUACUACCAUUAAAACUAGUAUUCCUGAUGAUACUAACACUACUGGCUGGUACGAUAUCGGGUAGCGGCUGAACAGAAUGCUUGUCCUGAUGCAUCACGUCGUAUCGACUGUGACAAUGAGUAUUUCCAAAAUCUGAAAAUAACAAAGUAUACCUCGCACUGUAAAAUAUUUAAGUAAAGCAAAAAUACACAAUUGGAUGUUUCGGGAUAAUCAAAUAAUUGCUAAUGUAAAAAAGAGACACGAGGAAAUGGAUAAAUCCAAGAUGGAGUGGUCUAAUGAUCGUGUUGGCGGCGUGAGGAAAUUAAAUAGAUAACACUUGCCCUGAUGGGUUAGAACGAGGGGAGGUUAGAAAGGAUAAGAAGAGGAACCAUGGGAUCUUGCUAGGGUAUAAUGUUGAGGGUUUCGGUAGGUUCGAGUCUCGAGGAACGAAGGGAGUUAAGGUCGUAAUCGCAACCGAGCGAGACAAUUUUAUCCGCGUUUAACGCCGGCGAUAUAUAUUCCAAGUUUACCCGUCGACAGGACGAAGAUCCUUCCAUCCCGGCAUACUUGGUUGAAUAUCUUCAAGAUCGUAAGGACUCUUCUACGGCCUCUUCCUCUUCUUAUUCGCUUUCUCUUAGCGCGCUUCUCACGUCUCUUGCCACUUGUUCCUCUUCCUCCUGGCUUCACUGACUAUCUGCCUUAACAAAUCUACUGGCUGCUGUGAGUGAGCACUCUUUUCUCUCUCUCGCUCCUUAUACUGGCUCACUUCCAUUUUCCAAAGCUCUCCAUCCUUUUGCCUUAUACGAGUCUUAGCUUGGCGCAUCGAUGCGACCUAACCUCACUUACGGGACAGAGAGGUUCCCUUCGUUAUAUCUUAUACCUAUACUCCGUUCCUCUCGUUACGGCUGUUCCUUACGAUAAAGCGGACGCGAAGUCGAACUUAAAAAGGCGGGAAUUUCAAAAAUCACCAAUACCAUACGGAUGUCUAAGGUCGUACAAAUUGAAUUAUUAUAGUCCAGUUGUCUCAUGGACCCGAGGCAAUGUCCGUCGCGACGCGAAUGGUAUUAUUUUACUCGGCUUUCGGAGAUAUUUAAAUUGGAAUUUUCUUUCUCAUUAUAACUCAACCAAGAGGAAAAUCUGCUUCUCUGUCGACACUCUCUUUGAGUCUCUUCACUGUCUCUCUUUCUCUGUCUCUCAUUAUUAUAGAGGAUAA
Molecule: long non-coding RNA, 1634 nt
Organism: Cephus cinctus (wheat stem sawfly)
Lineage: Eukaryota; Metazoa; Arthropoda; Insecta; Hymenoptera; Cephidae
Exons: 3
Source: RefSeq, a predicted model, not a curated record